GGAUAUAAACCGUUAGUAGUCCCUUGGAUGGUCCAGAAAAUAGAGUUGAUGGCAACAUGGUGGUGACGACAACAAAUUUGAAACAGCUUCGACAGUGUCUCACGCAAGAUCAAGAAGAUCAGAAAGAAAGGCUAGGCAGUAAAAUGCAAGAUCUGGAGCAAAAGGUCCAAGAUGUGGAUAUAAAAUUGCAUCAGAAUGAAGCUACACUGAAGGAAUUGCGCAAGCUUGAAGACAAGGUCGCCACCAAGACAGAUGACACACUCUAUUUGAGGAGCAAGAAGAAGAGUUCUAGAGAUCUAGGUGACGAUAGUGAUGACAGAUUUGGACAAAGAUCUAAGGGAAUGGAAUGCCAAGUUUACUGCAAGGAUAGCUGUCCUGGAAGAUGUCUUUUGGAAUAUUGAGGACAUUGAGACAAAAAGCUAUUAUUGAGGAAUUGAGACGAAAAACUUUCUUAUAUAGAAAAAAAUCUUAGAUUACAUUGGGAAAGUUGGCAAGCUUCAGGCUGCACCUGAGCUUUAUAUGAAAUUGAAGAAGUAGAGAGAUGUGACAAUCCACGAGCUUUAUCGGCAUCACAAUCUGGGGUCUCUUUCAUAAACUCCUUUCAACAAUGAAGUUGCUUCAAUUCAUAUAAGUUGUAUAAAGUCGAGAUUGGACGAUCUUGAUCGUGACCUAGAUGAGAAGAAGGGUAUCGAGGUUGAAAGAUUAAGCUUCUUUUGGAAGGAAAAUUGAUCCCAAAAUACAGGAUAAGUCAAAAGAGGUAGCAGCUCUUACAAAUAAAGUUAAAGUCCUGUGUCUUAUUGAAGGACAAAGAUGUCAAUGCACUGCAACUAAAAUAACAAGAAGUCAAUGAUAAUUUGGUCAAACUU
Erigeron canadensis is the source of this 866-nucleotide long non-coding RNA. RefSeq lists it as uncharacterized. The record is from RefSeq and is a predicted model, not a curated record. Lineage: Eukaryota; Viridiplantae; Streptophyta; Magnoliopsida; Asterales; Asteraceae. The transcript is spliced from 5 exons.